This 496-nucleotide ribosomal RNA is filed under the name uncultured bacterium. RNAcentral's name for it is "partial 16S ribosomal RNA". It matches the Rfam family "Bacterial small subunit ribosomal RNA", at positions 28 to 506 of the family's 1533-position model. The record is from RNAcentral.
GAUGAACGCUGGCGGCGUGCCUAAUACAUGCAAGUCGAGCGAACGGACGAGAAGCUUGCUUCUCUGAUGUUAGCGGCGGACGGGUGAGUAACACGUGGAUAACCUACCUAUAAGACUGGGAUAACUUCGGGAAACCGGAGCUAAUACCGGAUAAUAUUUUGAACCGCAUGGUUCAAAAGUGAAAGACGGUCUUGCUGUCACUUAUAGAUGGAUCCGCGCUGCAUUAGCUAGUUGGUAAGGUAACGGCUUACCAAGGCAACGAUGCAUAGCCGACCUGAGAGGGUGAUCGGCCACACUGGAACUGAGACACGGUCCAGACUCCUACGGGAGGCAGCAGUAGGGAAUCUUCCGCAAUGGGCGAAAGCCUGACGUAGCAACGCCGCGUGAGUGAUGAAGGUCUUCGGAUCGUAAAACUCUGUUAUUAGGGAAGAACAUAUGUGUAAGUAACUGUGCACAUCUUGACGGUACCUAAUCAGAAAGCCACGGCUAACUACGU